CAGGGAGACAAACAUUGAUCAUGAUGUCUGAGUAUAUUUAUCCUUAGACCUUGGUCCUGUCACCUUAGGUCGAUCGGUACCUCAAAUUAAUAGUUAAUAAUUAGUUGAUUAUUCACUAACUUAUUAGUUAUCUGAUUUCAGUUCCUAAACUUGUCUAGGUCACACCCCCGCAAGGGUACCCCUGGGCCAUUAGCUCAGGUGGUUAGAGCGCACCCCUGAUAAGGGUGAGGUCCCUGGUUCAAGUCCAGGAUGGCCCAUUCGGUUUUGGGGGUAUAGCUCAGUUGGUAGAGCGCCUGCUUUGCAAGCAGGAUGUCAGCGGUUCGAGUCCGCUUACCUCCACUGAUCGAUGAUCUCCUGAAAGGACCCAAUACAGAGGACCUUUGCUUGAUGUGAUUUAGACCCUUUCAUUUGCUAAGCAUUAAGACCCUAGCUUCCUAUCACUCAAUUAAUCUACUAAAUAAAUUAGAUUUUUGCUGAUAGGACGCUGGGCUCAUUGCAAUUUUAAUUGCAAUUAGUUUGGCAGAACCUUGACAACUGCAUAGGUGAGUCUGGAAAGAAUAAAAGCAUCUCAUGGAUGCAUCAUUUUUCCUUUUAUCAAUUAAUUACAUGUUAAAUAAUUGAUGUUUAAAUGAAUUAAUGAUGUUAAUUCUUGAGCAAGAGCUGAGACUCUAUAACGUUCUUUUGAUGAUUUUUGUUCAUCGAAAGUCUGAUUGAUUAUUUGAUCUAAAUUAGAAUUUAUUUUUUAGUUAAAUCUAUUUAAUAAGCUCUAAACUCACAAAUAAUUGAGAAUGAAGUUUUCAACAACUUUUAAGCGUUGUAGAGAAAAUU
RNAcentral lists this transfer RNA (828 nucleotides) under uncultured cyanobacterium. RNAcentral describes it as "partial miscellaneous RNA". The stretch from base 267 to 339 matches the Rfam family "tRNA". Lineage: Bacteria; Bacillati; Cyanobacteriota. The record is from RNAcentral.